AUAUCUCGAAAAACCCCCAGAGACCCGUCGGUUGCGCGACAAACACAGUUACGGAAGAUCGAAGCGCACAUCUGAAAAGUGAGACAUGACAGGGGGUGCAGCAACUAGGGACAAGGGUGUACCGGGUAUGCGUGCGCAAAGGAGCUGUUUGUGUGAGACUGGAGAAAGACAAAUGGCUGCUUUUGCGCAGUCCGGUCCCCUUUUCGGUAUUCACUGGGGCGGUGUACUACGGCAGCGACCACUCCACCUGCUGCAUAGAUCAGUCACCAUCACCAUGGCGACAUCAUCGCAGCCAGUCUGACAGCAGUAGUUCAACCUUGUGUCUAUGCUCCAGACAAGGAAAAGUAGACCGUUGGAUCGGUGCAAUAGACCGGAGGUCUGGCUGCAUAGGUAUGUACACACAUCCUGACACAUGGACACAUUCCAAGACAUGCCUCAAGACCUGGCUAGGGGUUGAGACAGCUGGAGUGCAUAUGCUGGAGGGCAUAGGACUGGCAUGAGGGACUACUCGAGUACGAUAGGAUGAUUACUGCUAGCACGAGUACAAUAGCAUAGUGAUCGACAGAGACAGUCAAGCCACGCCGUAUUGCACUGGCCAUGCUUUUGCCAUGGUGCUGCUUUACACUUCUUUCUAUCUCCAUCUCCAUGGAAAGUUCGCCCCGCUGUUAUGGAGGGGUACAGCACGUUUCACCGUGGAAAGCAGCCCUGGAGGUGCGAUAGUUGCGGUUGAGAAGCAGUUGACAAGGUCCAAUCGAGGGUUAUGAGUCAGCGUACGAGUAUGAGUGUUGAGGACAGUACGAGCACAGCACGAGUACAGCACGAGUACAAGGGUCGUAAAACCGUAUGUACUGUUACUAGGAUAGAACUUUCCCAUCCCUAUUCGGACCCAGACCCAGACCCAGACCCAGACCCAGCUUGACAUUCUUGGAUAUGCUCACCAGGAUGAUUCAUAUGAAUCAGCUCGCACAACUGUUUGAUUCUAUCCAUCCAAGUGUUUGUUCGUUUCGUCUCGAAGACACCCGUCAGUGGAAUGUCUGGGGACGCCCUCCAGAAGACGCCCUGGCACCCCCAAGUGUUCCCUGACGACGUCAACCAUGAGUAUCUACCAUAUGAACCUGAUCGGAGAGAUCGCUGUGCUGGAUAAUGUAGAAAUGUCAGCCAAUAUUAACAAUUCACCCAUACAAAGAAUUCUCCCUCUCUUUCUCAACAUGAUGAAAGUCGCAAGGACUACUUGGAAACCUCAGCAUCUCCAAUAUUCUUCAGAUUGAAAGAAACCAAGGAGGAAUUAACUCACCUGGCGACACAAAAACACUUGCAUUAUACAAAGAGUAUCUUUUCUCGCUCCAUUACUCUCAUGUAUGCACUCCCGUUCUCUCAACAAGUUAGGUAAGUAAACUGGUUUUUUAGUCGAGUAUAUAAACGAAAACGGAUGUCAGUACAACUCACGAACGAUAUCCUCCUCCAAACUCCUUCAAUUUGGUCCAGUGAGAAAUCUGAUAGUGACAUGAGACUGAGACGAAUUCACUAUCAGAUUUCUCAUUCAAAAAAUCACUUCACUUCCCCAGAACAGCUACUCCUGAGUUCACUUACUAAGC
Molecule: unclassified non-coding RNA, 1595 nt
Filed under: Yarrowia lipolytica
Lineage: Eukaryota; Fungi; Ascomycota; Dipodascomycetes; Dipodascales
Source: RNAcentral